UACGUAGGGGGCUAGCGUUGUCCGGAAUCAUUGGGCGUAAAGCGCGUGUAGGCGGUCCGGUAAGUCCGCUGUGAAAGUCGGGGGCUCAACCCUCGGAUGCCGGUGGAUACUGUCGGGCUUGAGUACGGAAGAGGCGAGUGGAAUUCCUGGUGUAGCGGUGAAAUGCGCAGAUAUCAGGAGGAACACCAAUGGCGAAGGCAGAUCUCUGGGCCGUAACUGACGCUGAGGAGCGAAAGCGUGGGGAGCGAACAGG
This 253-nucleotide ribosomal RNA is filed under the name uncultured bacterium. RNAcentral's name for it is "partial 16S ribosomal RNA". It matches the Rfam family "Bacterial small subunit ribosomal RNA", at positions 524 to 776 of the family's 1533-position model. The record is from RNAcentral.